This 90-nucleotide transfer RNA is filed under the name Candidatus Omnitrophota bacterium. RNAcentral describes it as "Candidatus Omnitrophica bacterium tRNA-Ser". It matches the Rfam family "tRNA". From Rfam's summary of the family: Transfer RNA (tRNA) molecules are approximately 80 nucleotides in length. Their secondary structure includes four short double-helical elements and three loops (D, anti-codon, and T loops). The record is from RNAcentral. Lineage: Bacteria; Pseudomonadati; Candidatus Omnitrophota.
GGAGGAAUGGCUGAGUGGUUUAAAGCGGCAGUCUUGAAAACUGUUGUGGGCUUAUGUCCACCGUAGGUUCAAAUCCUACUUCCUCCGCCA